UUUCACUUCUUUAUUUAUUAUCACAGAAGUGAGGUGUUACUUCACACACAUACACACACACAGAAUGAAAUAAAGAAAUGAAACUCGCUAAGCAGACAAAAACAGGCAACUUUCUGCUUAGAAAACAGCCUUCCCCGGUGGGAGAGGCAGCACUGCCAUGUCUAACAGCAAGACUGGCCCCCGAAAUUUGUUUUGGCCAGAAAUGGUGAGAAGAAAAAGCAUGAAGAAGCCGCGAAGUGUGGGGGAGAAAAAGGUGGAAGCGAAGAAACAGCUCCCGGAGUAAACUGCACAAAACCUCGCCAAGAGUGUCGGGAGGCAGGACCGUUAUUCCUGCGGAGCAGGUUAGAACUGAUCUCUUUCGGCCACUCCAGGAAACACAAACCUGGGGACGGACUGACGUGUUACGCCUCUUCUAAUGACAUUUUUUUCUUUUUCUUUUCUGUAGGAGAGAGAGGAGAGACCCUGAAACACGCGCCACCUAUCUUUGUGGGGAGGGAUAAUUGAAGCGCCCUGAGCGUGAGCAUCAUGUGAAAACGUGAUCGCCAAGUUUCUCUCUGGGAAAGGAUCUGGGAUAGAUUAUACCUUGAAGUCUCCGCAAACGCUUUAGUGGAAGAAAUGAAAUUCCACCUCCCUCCCUUCCUCUCUCCCUCCCUCUCGCCUCCCACCCUCAGACGCUCAGGUCUCCACGACACCCCGGAGGGAAAGUGUAGCAGAUUAUAUUUUGUAUAGAAAGAAACAAAAUCCACGGAGUAGUGCAUGUAGCGUA
This 766-nucleotide long non-coding RNA is filed under the name Oryctolagus cuniculus (rabbit). Its description in RNAcentral is "lncRNA (ENSOCUG00000036712.1)". Lineage: Eukaryota; Metazoa; Chordata; Mammalia; Lagomorpha; Leporidae. The record is from RNAcentral.